RNAcentral lists this long non-coding RNA (1056 nucleotides) under Homo sapiens (human). RNAcentral describes it as "HSALNT0092445". The record is from RNAcentral. Lineage: Eukaryota; Metazoa; Chordata; Mammalia; Primates; Hominidae.
CUGCUAUUCAGCAAUAAAUACAAAAAACAUGUUUUUGAUACAUAUAUCAAUGUGGCUGAAUGUUGAAAUAAGUAUGUUGAAUAAAAAAGCCAGAUAAAAUGAUCACAUACUGUAUAAUUAGCUUUAUCACAAUUCUAGAAAAUACAUAAUAUUGACAAAGUAAUCGGUGGUUCCCUGCAUAUGUAAUUGGAGGAAGGGAUGUUUUAUAAUAGUGAUAGUGGCAGGAGGCAGACAAAUUCCUAGGCAGAUCAGGGUGGGUCCCUGGUGAAAUCCAACUUUCAAGCCAAAGCCUGAAAAGCCUGAAAACCGGGCUGCCAGUUCCAGGUAGAAUCCACAACCGGAAGUGAGAACUUCCUGAUGCCUUUCAGCCAAUCAAAUGGUUCUUCUUUCAGAGCCCACCCAUGGACCAAUCAGCAUGCACGUCCUUCAUUCUGAGCAUAUAAAAACCCCUGGACUCGGCCACAGCUGUCGACUACCAGGCUGCGUUAGGAGCUACCGUCUUCAGCUUUUUCUCGCUGCUGAGAGCUGUUUUGUUACUCAGUAAAACUCUUCUCCACCGUGCUCACCCUUCAGUUGACCGUGCAACUUCAUUCUUCCUGGACAUAAACCCGGGACCCACAGAACAGCGGGUGCAAAAAGGGCUGUAACGCUUUCCUGGCCGGAUCGCCAAGCUGCAGGUAAGAUGUGCCUGCUUCACCUACUGGCGUGAAUGUAAACUUUCUGAGACCUUCCCAGCCAUGUGGAACUGUCACAUUUCAUUUCAUUUUUAGUGACUCUGCAAUGACCAUGGACAUUAUUUUUUAAUUGUUAAGCAUAUAAACAAACAUGCACACUAACACCCAGGAUGGAUAUAUCUAAGUUUGCUCAUCAGACCGAAAGUUUUCCAAUCUGGCAUGCUCCAGACUGCCAAGUGACAAAUAACAAAAGAAGCUAUGAGACCUGGGAAGAAGCCUGUGCAAAUGAGGAAUCUUGGAGCUAAAUCUCUACUAGCUUAGUGGAAGUCCCUUCUGCUUACAAAUGGAGUGCGUAUUUUUUCCUUUUGCUUUGUUUUUACAC